CAGUAGCCACGGUAAUACGAAGGGUGCAAGCGUUACUCGGAAUUACUGGGCGUAAAGCGUGCGUAGGUGGUGGUUUAAGUCCGUUGUGAAAGCCCUGGGCUCAACCUGGGAAUUGCAGUGGAUACUGGGUCACUAGAGUGUGGUAGAGGAUAGUGGAAUUUCCGGUGUAGCAGUGAAAUGCGUAGAGAUCGGAAGGAACAUCUGUGGCGAAGGCGACUAUCUGGGCCAACACUGACACUGAGGCACGAAAGCGUGGGGAGCAAACAGGAUUAGAGACCCCUGUAGUCCCUGUCUCUUAUAC
RNAcentral lists this ribosomal RNA (301 nucleotides) under uncultured bacterium. RNAcentral describes it as "partial 16S ribosomal RNA". It matches the Rfam family "Bacterial small subunit ribosomal RNA", at positions 509 to 807 of the family's 1533-position model. The record is from RNAcentral.